This 449-nucleotide ribosomal RNA is filed under the name uncultured bacterium. RNAcentral's name for it is "partial 16S ribosomal RNA". It matches the Rfam family "Bacterial small subunit ribosomal RNA", at positions 29 to 523 of the family's 1533-position model. The record is from RNAcentral.
AACGAACGCUGGCGGCAUGCCUAACACAUGCAAGUCGAACGAGAUCUUCGGGUCUAGUGGCGCACGGGUGCGUAACGCGUGGGAAUCUGCCCUUUGGUUCGGAAUAACAGUUGGAAACGACUGCUAAUACCGGAUGAUGACGAAAGUCCAAAGAUUUAUCGCCAGAGGAUGAGCCCGCGUAGGUUUAGCUAGUUGGUGUGGUAAAGGCGCACCAAGGCGACGAUCCUUAGCUGGUCUGAGAGGAUGAUCAGCCACACUGGGACUGAGACACGGCCCAGACUCCUACGGGGGGCAGCAGUGGGGAAUAUUGGACAAUGGGCGAAAGCCUGAUCCAGCAAUGCCGCGUGAGUGAUGAAGGCCUUAGGGUUGUAAAGCUCUUUUACCCGGGAUGAUAAUGACAGUACCGGGAGAACAAGCUCCGGCUAACUCCGUGCCAGCAGCCGCCGUAA